AUAAAAUUAUAUGUAAACCGUCGUAUAAUAUUAGGGAUAAGGCCUGAGAGUUUCUACCGGACUACCGUAAAUGGUCCGACUACGAGGUGAAUUGCUUGUUUG
RNAcentral lists this non-coding RNA (102 nucleotides) under Pontibacillus litoralis. Its description in RNAcentral is "Guanine sequence". It matches the Rfam family "Purine riboswitch aptamer". From Rfam's summary of the family: Riboswitches are metabolite binding domains within certain messenger RNAs that serve as precision sensors for their corresponding targets. Allosteric rearrangement of mRNA structure is mediated by ligand binding, and this results in modulation of gene expression. A class of riboswitches that selectively recognises guanine and becomes saturated at concentrations as low as 5 nM. RNAcentral also lists the same sequence under 1 other name. The record is from RNAcentral. Lineage: Bacteria; Bacillati; Bacillota; Bacilli; Caryophanales; Bacillaceae.